RNAcentral lists this ribosomal RNA (355 nucleotides) under Dyscia simplicaria. Its description in RNAcentral is "partial 12S ribosomal RNA". Lineage: Eukaryota; Metazoa; Arthropoda; Insecta; Lepidoptera; Geometridae. The record is from RNAcentral.
UAAAAAUUUAAAUUGAAAAUACUAAAAUAGUAAAUAAUUAUUUAUUAAAACUUAAAUGUUUUGGCGGUAUUUUAGUUUAUUUAGAGGAAUCUGUUUAUUAAUUGAUAAUCCACGAAUAAAUUUACUUAAUUUAUUAUUUUGUAUAUCAUUGUUAAAUAAAUAUUUUUUAAUAAUUAAUAAUAUUUUAAAAUUAUAAAUAAAAAUUAAAUCAAAUCAAGAUGCAGAUUAUAAUUAAGAAUAUAAUGGAUUACAAUAAUUUUAUUUAAAUGAAUUUUAAUUUGUAAUAAUUAAAUGAAGGUGGAUUUAAAUGUAAUUUUAUUUAUUUUAAUAAUUUGAUUAAAAAUUAAAAUAUGUA